RNAcentral lists this ribosomal RNA (253 nucleotides) under uncultured bacterium. Its description in RNAcentral is "partial 16S ribosomal RNA". It matches the Rfam family "Bacterial small subunit ribosomal RNA", at positions 524 to 776 of the family's 1533-position model. The record is from RNAcentral.
UACGUAGGGUGCAAGCGUUGUCCGGAAUUAUUGGGCGUAAAGAGCUCGUAGGCGGUUUGUCGCGUCGAAUGUGAAAACCCGGGGCUCAACCCCGGGCCUGCAUUCGAUACGGGCAGACUAGAGUUCGGUAGGGGAGUCUGGAAUUCCUGGUGUAGCGGUGAAAUGCGCAGAUAUCAGGAGGAACACCUGCGGCGAAGGCGGGUUGCUGGGCCGACACUGACGCUGAGGCGCGAAAGCCAGGGGAGCGAACGGG